UUUCACCUACGGGACGCAGCAGUGGGGAAUAUUGCACAAUGGGGGGAACCCUGAUGCAGCGACGCCGCGUGGGUGAAGGAGUACUUCGGUACGUAAAGCUCUAUCAGCAGGGAAGAAAAUGACGGUACCUGACUAAGAAGCCCCGGCUAACUACGUGCCAGCAGCCGCGGUAAUACGUAGGGGGCAAGCGUUAUCCGGAAUUACUGGGUGUAAAGGGAGCGCAGACGGCAGUGCAAGUCUGGAGUGAAAGCCCGUGGCUUAACCACGGGACUGCUCUGGAAACUGUGCAGCUAGAGUGCAGGAGG
RNAcentral lists this ribosomal RNA (305 nucleotides) under uncultured bacterium. Its description in RNAcentral is "bacterial SSU rRNA". It matches the Rfam family "Bacterial small subunit ribosomal RNA", at positions 333 to 655 of the family's 1533-position model. The record is from RNAcentral.